CCUACGGGAGGCUGCAGUGAGGAAUAUUGGUCAAUGGACGAGAGUCUGAACCAGCCAAGUAGCGUGAAGGAUGACUGCCCUAUGGGUUGUAAACUUCUUUUAUAUGGGAAUAAAAUGUUCCACGUGUGGGAUUUUGUAUGUACCAUAUGAAUAAGGAUCGGCUAACUCCGUGCCAGCAGCCGCGGUAAUACGGAGGGUCCGAGCGUUAUCCGGAUUUAUUGGGUUUAAAGGGAGCGUAGGUGGAUUGUUAAGUCAGUUGUGAAAGUUUGCGGCUCAACCGUAAAAUUGCAGUUGAAACUGGCAGUCUUGAGUACAGUAGAGGUGGGCGGAAUUCGUGGUGUAGCGGUGAAAUGCGUAGAUAUCACGAAGAACUCCGAUUGCGAAGGCAGUUCACUGGACUGCAACUGACACUGAGGCUCGAAAGUGUGGGUAUCAAACAGGAUUAGAUACCCGAGUAGUC
RNAcentral lists this ribosomal RNA (460 nucleotides) under uncultured bacterium. RNAcentral describes it as "partial 16S ribosomal RNA". It matches the Rfam family "Bacterial small subunit ribosomal RNA", at positions 338 to 795 of the family's 1533-position model. The record is from RNAcentral.